GCGAACGGGUGAGUAACACGUGGGCAAUCUGCCCUUCACUCUGGGACAAGCCCUGGAAACGGGGUCUAAUACCGGAUAACACUGCGGAUCGCAUGGUCUGCGGUUAAAAGCUCCGGCGGUGAAGGAUGAGCCCGCGGCCUAUCAGCUUGUUGGUGAGGUAAUGGCUCACCAAGGCGACGACGGGUAGCCGGCCUGAGAGGGCGACCGGCCACACUGGGACUGAGACACGGCCCAGACUCCUACGGGAGGCAGCAGUGGGGAAUAUUGCACAAUGGGCGAAAGCCUGAUGCAGCGACGCCGCGUGAGGGAUGACGGCCUUCGGGUUGUAAACCUCUUUCAGCAGGGAAGAAGCGAAAGUGACGGUACCUGCAGAAGAAGCGCCGGCUAACUACGUGCCAGCAGCCGCGGUAAUACGUAGGGCGCAAGCGUUGUCCGGAAUUAUUGGGCGUAAAGAGCUCGUAGGCGGCUUGUCACGUCGAUUGUGAAAGCCCGAGGCUUAACCUCGGGUCUGCAGUCGAUACGGGCUAGCUAGAGUGUGGUAGGGGAGAUCGGAAUUCCUGGUGUAGCGGUGAAAUGCGCAGAUAUCAGGAGGAACACCGGUGGCGAAGGCGGAUCUCUGGGCCAUUACUGACGCUGAGGAGCGAAAGCGUGGGGAGCGAACAGGAUUAGAUACCCUGGUAGUCCA
RNAcentral lists this ribosomal RNA (685 nucleotides) under Streptomyces sp. HB_12_4. Its description in RNAcentral is "bacterial SSU rRNA". It matches the Rfam family "Bacterial small subunit ribosomal RNA", at positions 98 to 797 of the family's 1533-position model. RNAcentral also lists the same sequence under 1 other name. The record is from RNAcentral. Lineage: Bacteria; Bacillati; Actinomycetota; Actinomycetes; Kitasatosporales; Streptomycetaceae.